GACGAACGCUGGCGGCGUGCUUAACACAUGCAAGUCGAACGGUAAGGCCCUUCGGGGUACACGAGUGGCGAACGGGUGAGUAACACGUGGGUGAUCUGCCCUGCACUUCGGGAUAAGCCUGGGAAACUGGGUCUAAUACCGGAUAGGACCACUGCCUGCAUGGGUGGUGGUGGAAAGCUUUUGCGGUGUGGGAUGGGCCCGCGGCCUAUCAGCUUGUUGGUGGGGUGAUGGCCUACCAAGGCGACGACGGGUAGCCGGCGUGAGAGGGUGACCGGGCCUACGGGGAGUAGGAUACGGCCCAGACUCCUACGGGAGGCAGCAGUGGGGAAUAUUGGACACUGGGCGCAAGCCUGAUGCAGCGGAGCCGCGUGGGAGAUGACGGCCUUCGGGUUGUAAACCUCUUUCAGCACCGACGAAGCGCAAGUGACGGUAGGUGCAGAAGAAGGACCGGCCAACUACGUGCCAGCCGCCACAGUAA
RNAcentral lists this ribosomal RNA (478 nucleotides) under uncultured bacterium. Its description in RNAcentral is "partial 16S ribosomal RNA". It matches the Rfam family "Bacterial small subunit ribosomal RNA", at positions 28 to 523 of the family's 1533-position model. The record is from RNAcentral.